CCCUUAGAUGUUCUGGGCCGCACGCGUGCUACACUGACCGGCGCAACAAGUUUCUUUCCUUGGCUCGAUAGGCCUGGGUAAUCUUUGAACGCCGGUCGUGAUGGGGAUAGAUCCUUGCAAUUUUUGAUCUUCAACGAGGAAUUCCUAGUAAAUGCGAGUCAUCAUCUCGCGUUGAUUACGUCCCUGCCCUUGGUACACACCGCCCGUCGCACCUACCGAUUGAAUGGUCCGGUGAAGCCUCGGGAUUGCGAAUGCUUCGUGCGGACGCGAGAACUUGGCUAAACCUUACCAUUUAGAGGAAGGUGAAGUCGUAACA
This 316-nucleotide ribosomal RNA is filed under the name uncultured eukaryote. Its description in RNAcentral is "partial 18S ribosomal RNA". It matches the Rfam family "Eukaryotic small subunit ribosomal RNA", at positions 1470 to 1796 of the family's 1831-position model. The record is from RNAcentral.